AUUGAACGCUGGCGGCAGGCCUAACACAUGCAAGUCGAGCGAGCGGCGGACGGGUGAGUAAUGUAUGGGGACUGCCCGAUAGAGGGGGAUAACUACUGGAAACGGUAGCUAAUACCGCAUACUAUCGGAUAACCCAUAUGGGAUUAGCUAGUAGGUGAGGUAAUGGCUCACCUAGGCGACGAUCCCUAGCUGGUCUGAGAGGAUGAUCAGCCACACCGGGAAUGAGACACGGCCCAGACUCCUGCGGAGGCAGCAGUAGGGAAUAUUGCACAAGGGGCUCAAGCCUGAUGCAGCCAUGCCGCGUGUAUCAAGAAGGCUCUAGGGUUGUAAAAUACUUUCAGUCGGAAGGCGUUACCGACAGAAGAAGCACGGGCUAACUACGUGCCAGCAGAGGCGGUAGUUC
RNAcentral lists this ribosomal RNA (403 nucleotides) under uncultured bacterium. RNAcentral describes it as "partial 16S ribosomal RNA". It matches the Rfam family "Bacterial small subunit ribosomal RNA", at positions 30 to 526 of the family's 1533-position model. The record is from RNAcentral.